AGCAGUCGCCGCGGGAAUACAGAGGGUGCGAGCGUUAAUCGGAUUUACUGGGCGUAAAGCGUGCGUAGGCGGCUUUUUAAGUCGGAUGUGAAAUCCCUGAGCUUAACUUAGGAAUUGCAUUCGAUACUGGGAAGCUAGAGUAUGGGAGAGGAUGGUAGAAUUCCAGGUGUAGCGGUGAAAUGCGUAGAGAUCUGGAGGAAUACCGAUGGCGAAGGCAGCCAUCUGGCCUAAUACUGACGCUGAGGUACGAAAGCAUGGGGAGCAAACAGGAUUAGAUACCCGAGUAGUCCCUGUCUCUUAUAA
Molecule: ribosomal RNA, 303 nt
Filed under: uncultured bacterium
Lineage: Bacteria
Description: partial 16S ribosomal RNA
Rfam family: Bacterial small subunit ribosomal RNA
Source: RNAcentral